AAGAAUUGCAAGUCAGCGAGGAAAAGUUGUACUCUACUAAAGUUUAUUUGCCAUUUGUAAUUCACGAUUAAAUACUACAAGUACAGUUCAGUAGAUUAAUUAUUCUAGUUGAAAUCAAGUACAGUGCAGUAAAUCUAAAAUUAUAGUUCUAAAAACAAGUGCAGUACGAUAAAUUGAAAAAUUCUAAUUAAAAGCAGUUAAAUCCUACAGCUAUUAGUACGGCUGAUUGAAAUUGGUACUACAUAGCUGCUAUCCUUUCAUCUACGGUAUCGUAAAAACUAAAUUAAUCAUACAACACACAAUAAGAGCAUUACCACCACCAACUGAACUACUGUAAAAGACAUAAAAGGGACACUAAACGUAAGUUUUCUUAAAUCUAUUAACUAAAAAUAUGCAAACGUUAUAUCGAACCACUAACUAAAA
Molecule: long non-coding RNA, 423 nt
Organism: Topomyia yanbarensis
Lineage: Eukaryota; Metazoa; Arthropoda; Insecta; Diptera; Culicidae
Exons: 3
Source: RefSeq, a predicted model, not a curated record